AAAACUUUUCCAAAAGAAAAGAAAAAUCUGUUCUUAUCAGUUUAAUAUCUGAUACGUCCCCCAUCGGGGGACUACAUAUUAAAUGGAUUUUUCGAACAGGGAGUCGGAAAUGGGGCUUGCUCCGUCCGCUCCACGCAUCGACCCGGUAUUGCAGUACCUCCGGGAACGGUGCAACACUU
Molecule: small nuclear RNA, 179 nt
Filed under: Oncorhynchus mykiss (rainbow trout)
Lineage: Eukaryota; Metazoa; Chordata; Actinopteri; Salmoniformes; Salmonidae
Description: U2 spliceosomal RNA (ENSOMYG00000072476.1)
Rfam family: U2 spliceosomal RNA
About the family: U2 is a small nuclear RNA (snRNA) component of the spliceosome (involved in pre-mRNA splicing). Complementary binding between U2 snRNA (in an area lying towards the 5' end but 3' to hairpin I) and the branchpoint sequence (BPS) of the intron results the bulging out of an unpaired adenosine, on the BPS, which initiates a nucleophilic attack at the intronic 5' splice site, thus starting the first of two transesterification reactions that mediate splicing.
Source: RNAcentral